This 406-nucleotide transfer-messenger RNA is filed under the name Endomicrobium sp. It matches the Rfam family "transfer-messenger RNA". From Rfam's summary of the family: Bacterial tmRNA, also known as 10Sa RNA or SsrA, is named for its dual tRNA and mRNA-like properties. Its role is to liberate the mRNA from a stalled ribosome. To accomplish this part of the tmRNA is used as a reading frame that ends in a translation stop signal. Lineage: Bacteria; Pseudomonadati; Elusimicrobiota; Endomicrobiia; Endomicrobiales; Endomicrobiaceae. The record is from RNAcentral.
GGGGGCGAACAGGGUUCGACGGGAAUGGUCAGAGACGUUUGCAGCAGGCCGGAGUUGGCCGAUGGCUCCGUAAAAAUCGGCUAAACAAUAAACAACGAUAAAAUAAAAAUCGUUCCGUUGCAAAACGUAAAGCCUAUGCCAGCCAUAGCGCCUGCGUUCUUGCCUUUUGCGGCUUAAGUCCGCAAACGUUUUACCUUAGAUAUCUGCUAUAGGGAUAAAACGUUAAGAGCAGGUUAGUUUUAAGUCGCGCGUUUCGUCGGCUUAAAAUGAAAUUAAAACGGAGCUCGUUUAUAGCGUAAUCCCGCUUUGAGACGGCGCUAUAAAUUAAAAAAAUUUCAAAGCUAAGCCUGUAGCGGCAGCGCCAAAGCAUUUUCGGACGCGGGUUCAAUUCCCGCCGCCUCCACCU